Molecule: small nuclear RNA, 155 nt
Filed under: Pogona vitticeps (central bearded dragon)
Lineage: Eukaryota; Metazoa; Chordata; Lepidosauria; Squamata; Agamidae
Description: U2 spliceosomal RNA (ENSPVIG00000022618.1)
Rfam family: U2 spliceosomal RNA
About the family: U2 is a small nuclear RNA (snRNA) component of the spliceosome (involved in pre-mRNA splicing). Complementary binding between U2 snRNA (in an area lying towards the 5' end but 3' to hairpin I) and the branchpoint sequence (BPS) of the intron results the bulging out of an unpaired adenosine, on the BPS, which initiates a nucleophilic attack at the intronic 5' splice site, thus starting the first of two transesterification reactions that mediate splicing.
Source: RNAcentral
AUUGCUUCUUGGCCUUUUGGCUAAGAUCAAGUGUAGUAUCUGUUCUUAUCAGUAAGGAGAGUAUGUAAUCCUACCAUAUGUUGCUUUUCUGCUGGUAACACAGUUGAGCCAGGACUGAUGGGGGUUGGAUAUCAACCUCUGGAAGUCCACAGGUU